CCUGACUGCUACCGGAUUGAUACUAAAGCCAUGCGAGUCUUUGUAGUAAUACAAGGCAGACGGCUCAGUAACGCGUAGUCAACCUACCCUAUGGACGGGAAUAAUCUCGGGAAACUGAGCAUAAUACCCGGCGUACCACCAUUCCUGGAAUGGUUGGUGGUUAAAAUGAUUCGUCGCCGUAGGAUGGGACUGCGACCUAUCAGCUUGUUGGUGGGGUAAAGGCCCACCAAGGCGAUUACAGGUACGGGCUCUGAGAGGAGAAGCCCGGAGAUGGGUACUGAGACACGGACCCAGGCCCUAUGGGGCGCAGCAGGCGAGAAAACUUUGCAAUGUGCGAAAGCACGACAAGGUUAAUCCGAGUGAUUUCUGCUAAAGGAAUCUUUUGCCAGUUCUAAAAAUACUAGUGAAUAAGGGGUGGGCAAGUUCUGGUGUCAGCCGCCGCGGUAAAACCAGCACCUCAAGUGGUCAGGAGGAUUAUUGGGCCUAAAGCAUCCGUAGCCUGCUCUGUAAGUUUUCGGUUAAAUCUAUAUGCUCAACGUAUAGGCCGCCGAAAAUACUGCAGUGCUAGGAAGUGGGAGAGGUAGACGGUACUUGAUAGGAAGGGGUAAAAUCCUUUGAUCUAUCGAUGACCACCUGUGGCGAAGGCGGUCUACCAGAACACGUUCGACGGUGAGGGAUGAAAGCUGGGGGAGCAAACCGGAUUAGAUACCCGGGUAGUCCCAGCUGUAAACGAUGCAGACUCGAUGAUGCAUUGGCAUAUAGCCAGUGCAGUGUCGCAGGGAAGCCGUUAAGUCUGCCGCCUGGGAAGUACGUACGCAAGUAUGAAACUUAAAGGAAUUGGCGGGGGAGCACCACAAGGGGUGAAGCCUGCGGUUC
Molecule: ribosomal RNA, 876 nt
Filed under: uncultured archaeon
Lineage: Archaea
Description: bacterial SSU rRNA
Rfam family: Archaeal small subunit ribosomal RNA
Source: RNAcentral